UACGUAGGGGGCAAGCGUUGUCCGGAAUCAUUGGGCGUAAAGCGCGUGUAGGCGGCCCGGUAAGUCCGCUGUGAAAGUCGGGGGCUCAACCCUCGAAUGCCGGUGGAUACUGUCGGGCUAGAGUGCGGAAGAGGCGAGUGGAAUUCCUGGUGUAGCGGUGAAAUGCGCAGAUAUCAGGAAGAACACCUAUGGCGAAGGCAGCUCUCUGGGACGGUACUGACGCUGAGACGCGAAAGCGUGGGGAGCGAACAGG
This 253-nucleotide ribosomal RNA is filed under the name uncultured bacterium. RNAcentral's name for it is "partial 16S ribosomal RNA". It matches the Rfam family "Bacterial small subunit ribosomal RNA", at positions 524 to 776 of the family's 1533-position model. The record is from RNAcentral.